This 166-nucleotide unclassified non-coding RNA is filed under the name Peziza flavida. RNAcentral's name for it is "partial internal transcribed spacer 2". The record is from RNAcentral. Lineage: Eukaryota; Fungi; Ascomycota; Pezizomycetes; Pezizales; Pezizaceae.
CCCCCCCACUCAAGCUCUUUUGCUUGGAAUCUUAGAAAAGCAGUCUAUCUGCCUUCUAUAAAUUCAUAGGCAGUAUGGUUUCUUCCAGACUCGACGUCAUAAUUCAAAAAAGCGUCUUAUUUGGAGUUAUCGUAUUCGCCUUUAACCCACCCUUUUUUUUUUACUU